RNA transcript from Mus musculus (house mouse), 6714 nucleotides. It is a transcript of the gene named MEIR1 treanscription regulator, with no coding region annotated. The transcript is spliced from 14 exons. The record is from RefSeq and is marked validated. Lineage: Eukaryota; Metazoa; Chordata; Mammalia; Rodentia; Muridae.
CGUCUGGCGCGCAUGCGUAGUUUCCGCCCCGCCCCUCCCCGGUCUUUCGGCCUUCGCGGUGGCGGCGGCGGCGCCCAAUCUUCGCCGCUUCCGCGGCGCGCCGGGAUUACGCUGCGGAAUGGUGUGGUGGCUCGAUUCUCCCAGUGCCUGGCUGAGUUUCGGACGUGGUUAAGAACCAACUGGUUGAGGUUCAAUGCAGACAAGACGGAUGUGAUGCUGCCAUCUGUUGAGUCUUCAAGUCCAGGAGGCUCAGCAACAUCAGAGGACCAUGAGUUUGAUCCAUCAGCUGACAUGCUGGUUCAUGAUUUUGAUGAUGAGCGAACAUUAGAAGAAGAAGAAAUGAUGGAAGGAGAGACAAACUUCAGUUCUGAAAUAGAGGAUCUUGCGAGGGAAGGCGACAUGCCAAUCCACGAGCUGCUCAGCCUCUAUGGUUAUGACAGCACUGUUCGGUUACCUGAGGAAGAGGAGGAGGAAGAGGAGGAGGAGGAAGGUGAAGAUGAUGAAGAUGCUGAUAAUGAUGAUAACAGUGGCUGUAGUGGAGAAAAUAAAGAAGAGAAUAUAAAGGAUUCAUCGGGUCAGGAGGAUGAAACUCAGUCUUCCAAUGAUGAUCCCUCACAGUCUGUUACUUCCCAAGAUGCUCAGGAAAUAAUCCGCCCACGUCGAUGUAAAUAUUUUGAUACAAAUAGUGAAAUAGAAGAAGAAUCUGAAGAAGAUGAAGAUUAUAUUCCCUCAGAAGACUGGAAAAAGGAAAUCAUGGUGGGCUCCAUGUUUCAAGCUGAGAUUCCAGUUGGUGUUUGUAGAUACAAAGAAAAUGAAAAAGUGUAUGAAAAUGAUGAUCAGCUUCUGUGGGAUCCAGAGUGUUUACCAGAAGAGAAAGUGGUUGUCUUUCUUAAGGAUGCGUCUAGAAGGACAGGGGAUGAGAAAGGUGUGGAAGCAAUCCCUGAAGGCUCGCAUAUCAAAGACAAUGAGCAGGCUUUAUAUGAGUUGGUUAAAUGCAGCUUUGAUACGGAAGAAGCCUUGAGAAGACUGAGAUUUAAUGUCAAAGCAGCUCGAGAGGAGUUAUCUGUGUGGACAGAGGAAGAGUGUAGAAAUUUUGAGCAAGGGCUGAAGGCCUAUGGAAAAGAUUUUCAUCUGAUUCAGGCUAAUAAAGUCCGAACAAGAUCAGUUGGUGAAUGUGUAGCAUUCUAUUACAUGUGGAAAAAGUCUGAGCGCUAUGAUUUCUUUGCUCAGCAAACAAGGUUUGGAAAAAAGAAAUAUAAUCUUCAUCCUGGUGUAACGUGAGUUGUUUUCUAAGCUUUCUUGGAUUUUUCUUAAAAGAGUUAUGAACUUUGUAGUACAUCAAAGUACAGUUUAUGUUAGUUUAUAAACAUUAUCUCUUGACAUGUAAGGCAUACAGACUUCAUUGUCUUAAGAAGAAUUCCAAACCGUCAUGCUUGUUAAUAAAACAAGCAUAAAACCAAGGUUUCGAGUGCAGGUUUUCAUUAGGUCUUCUUAAAAUGGAAAAGGAGAAUGUAUUAAUACUACAUUUGCGUUAAUUCAUUUUCUUCCUCCCCCCUUUUAUUUGUUUGUUUGUUUGUUUGUUUGUUUAGAGGCAAGAUCUUGCUAUGUAGUCCUGACUGAGCUGGCCUCAUUCUUCGCAAUUAUGUUAAUCUUCCAAGUGCUGGGAUUAUGUAUGUGUGCCACCACCUAUGGCUUAGUUUUGAUCUUUGAGAAGAGUAAAAUUAGGACGAAGUCAAGGUUUCCUAAAACUACUGGGCUAUAUAACCAGUGGAAGGCCAUUAAAGAGGAAAAGAAAUUAAUUUGUUUCUUGAGCAGCCUGUUUUGAUCACUGGAACUAAGAGAUACAGAUGUAGACGUUCUUAAACAGGAGGGGGUGGAGCACAGGAAUGUGGCCAUCGGGUCACAUUGAAUCUUCUUGUUUACUAGUUUUACCUUUUUCUAGUUUUCCUGAAUCGUAUAGGACACAGUAAUAAUAAUGCUAAGACAGCCCAGACUUGGGAGUGAUGCAGUGAUGGUAGCUCUACUCACACUCAUGGUGUGUCUUGCCUGCCUACCCACAGUCUCCAGCAUAAGAAAUCCUCUUAGCUCCAUUCCGGCUGUAAGUCGAUGUGGUCAGGGUACACGAAUAAAGAUGCUGUGUGCUUGACACACAUUUGCUUGGCUCAUGUUUGACUAUAUUUUCCAAACCUCUGGGCCGUACUGUUUCUUUGUUGUGUUCAUUUAUAGAUUGAGUACUUCCUCAGGUCAGACAUGCUAAAGCCCAAAGCAAAAUAAAGUCAGAAAGCAUAGGUGGGGGCUCAGCAUUGGAAUACCUCAGCCUAGUGUGCUGAAGACCUGCCUAGGCUGCUGCCAGCAUCGCUCCCCAGCAAGGGAGCAAGUGGAUAGCAUCCAUCCUUGGCAAAAGGCAGUGCACGCUGCCUCUCCUGUUCCCCAGGUAUUCAGAGUUGGUGACCAUUAGGAUUGAAUUUCAUAUACAGGAGCUCUACAGACUUUCUCAUUGCGUAAUAAAUACUCUACAAAUACUUGAAUGAAUUUAAUUUGAUCAUUUAGUUUAUGAACAGUUUAACCACUUGCUAAAUUUAUUAUUUUUCUGGGCUAUUCAGUGGUACUACAAAGAUGUAGGACUAGCUGUAUCCCUCCCUCCCUCCCUCCCUCCCUCUCUCCCUCCCUUCCAUCCUUCCUCUAUUUCAGAAACAAUGUUUACAAGUGCUGACUCUGUCAUCAUCAACAUGAGAACACAGCACAUUUGCCAUGCUACUGCAGAGUCCUAGUUUAUCUAGUUUUCUUUUUCAGAAAGCCUUAGCAGAGGGCUGAAUGUGCUAAGGACUUGGCUUAGUUGGCUCUGUGAUGUCCAGGGCAGCAGGGUGGGCAGGGAUGUGCCAAACAUUUUUGUUUCUCAGAUAAUCUCUCAUAGUUUCUGAAAAGCUUUGAAAGUAUUGAACAUGUUAGUUUCUCCUAGGUGAACUUUUUUAUAGGUGGACACACCAUAGGUAAAGUAAACCAUACCUUGUUUUCCUAAGGUGUGAGUUAACACCAGUCCCAUGUAAGAAUGGGAUGAAGUCACAGAUGUGUUUGGUCUUUCGUGUAGGCAAUAACCAUGGGUUUGAGGGACUGACUUCUGUUCCUUUGAGCUUCUUAUCCUCUGCCUGCCUGCCUGCCUGCCUGCCUGCCUGCCUGCCUGCCUGCCUGCCUGCCUGCCUUAAAUUCUUUCCCCGCAAAGGAACCACAGUAUUUCUUUACAGGGAUUACAUGGAUCGUCUUUUGGAUGAAAGUGAAAGUGCUGCUUCUAGCCGAGCACCAUCCCCCCCUCCCACUGCCUCAAAUAGCAGUAACAGCCAGUCCGAGAAAGAAGAUGGCGCUGUCAGCAGUAGGAAUCAGAACGGUGUCUCAUCUAAUGGACCAGGAGAAAUACUAAACAAAGAAGAAGUAAAAGUUGAAGGGUUACAUGUUAAUGGACCAACAGGUGGAAAUAAGAAACCACUUCUUACAGAUAUGGACACUAAUGGUUAUGAAGCAAAUAACCUGACCACUGACCCAAAACUUGCCCAUAUGACUGCAAGAAAUGAAAAUGAUUUUGAUGAAAAAAAUGAGAGACCUGCCAAAAGGCGGCGGAUAAACAGCAGUGGGAAAGAAAGUCCGGGCUCAUCUGAGUUUUUCCAGGAAGCAGUCUCACAUGGGAAGUUUGAGGAACAUGAAAACACGAAUGACUAACUCUUAGGCCUGUUUCACUUUCUUUGCAGUAAAGUCUGGUUUGACUACAAUUUUCAGGGUUGGGGGGUGACCUUUAGAAAGCUGAUUUCCUUAAAGCAGUUGGUUAACUCUUGAAAUUUGAAUUAAGUCCUAACUUUUAAGAAAUGGGAUUCAUAAUUCUACCUUUUACAAGUUCUUUUACUUCAAAUUUUUGAAGCCCUCUUUAAGGAUAUAAAAACAUUGGUAAAUUUGAAUGACCCAAAGACUUAACUGCACCUUCUCCUUUGAAAACCAAAUCAUAUAUUUGAUUAAAAGGUAAUCUUUCCUUAUUCUUUAUGAGGAAGAAAAGAGUUUGUGUUUCUGCUCAACAUCAAAUUUUUUAUUAUCUGGAAAUGUCUUUACAACAGACAUUUUUCUCUCCAUACAAAUUGAACAUCGUUACUAAGGAAACCCUCAUGAAUCCUGAAGGUUAUGCUAGCAUGAUUUUUAUAUGUAGAAGUUUAAAAAUAAACCAAGUCAGGUUUGUAUUUGUAAAAUUGUUGACAUCAAUGAUGUCUUUCCAUAUUCUUAUCUGGGCUUAAGAAAUACAUUCUGUAUUUUUCCAGAUUCUUUGUAGCCUUUGAAAGAUUUUUACAGUACAUAUGUCUUGACUGAGCUGUCUUUUCUUAAUACAAAAAGCUUGUAUAAUUUUCUUAACUUGUACAGUUGGUAAACUUUUAUGAGAGGAACUGAUAUUCUGAGUCUGUCAGCUUUCAUUUUAUUUUGCUAAGAUUUUUCUAAUGACUUUUUAAGUGUGUGUGUAGUUAACCAAGUCAUGUUUCUUAUCCAGGUGGUAAAAGCAUUCAUAAAGAAUUAUGAACAUGCGUUAUUUUCAAACUUCUACUUACUGACAAAUAAUUUGGGAUGUCUAAAUUUCAGCAUGAUACUCAGAUUACAAGCUUGUUUGCAUUUGCUAUAAUUUUAUAAAUUAAUUUUGAAACAAAACAAAAACUUACCGUCAGCUUAAGUGCGUAGAUGUAUCAUGCUGAAUAGAAUCCUGUUCAGUUGCUCUCAUGUGCCCUAUAAGAUUUCUCAUCGUUUCCAUUAAGUCAACAGAAGGGGAAGACCAGGUGAUGUUGCAAUAUUGCCACAUCCAAGGAGUAACUGUUGACAGGUAGCAAUAUUCAUUUUUAUGAGAAAAUAAUGGUUUUAAGAAUUUUCAGAUUUUUCCAGUUGUAAUCCAGUUUGUCAGAUUUGAUAGUUUUUCCAAAAUGAAACACAUACAAAAUAAUCAUUGUUCUGUGUGAUUUUUAAAAAGGGUUAUCUGCACUAGCCUUGUAUGGAUGGGUGCCAUUUUAUUUUUAGUGCAAAAUUCUUCUUAAAAAAUGUAGUUUUUUACAGCUGAUAGACCAAUCUAUCUCCAGACUGUUUUUUAGCGAAUGAUUAUUAGCUAUGUUUUCUCACACAGGCACAUCCCCAAAUGCUGCUUUCAGUUUGAUCUCAGCCAUCAGUUCAAGAGCCAAUGCUCUCAAAGGCAGAUCUGUGCUCCUUUCACAGGCUCAGUUGUCUGAUGCAGGUUGGGUAAAGGUUCGCACUGAGAAUGAUCGCCCAGGCCUCUCCCUCAGAGUAUUCUUAGAUUUGUCCAGACUGCUUCCUUUCCCUCGACCAGUAUUGGAAGGCACUUUGACAGUACAUCACAUAAUAUGCAUUUAUUGUUUUUGCAGAAAUAUCCCAGUAAGUCAGUUUCAGAUGGAAGUGCUAAGAAGCAUGAGAGGAUUUUGUUUGUUUGUUUGUUUUAUUGAAAACCAUUAAUUUAUCCAGAAUGGCAGUAGGUCAAGUAGCUUUAGCAGAUGGAUCAUAGCCUCUGUUUCCCUGCCCACCCCCACCCAUUUCUAUUAUCUCUCUUUUUUCUGUGUUUUUUUUUUUUUUUUUUAAAAACAACAAAAACAAAACAGAGUCUCACUGUGUAGCCCAGGCUGGCCUGGAACUUAACAAUCCUUCUACCUCAGCCCUCUAAUGCUGAGAUUGAAGGUGUUUCCCACCACACCCAGCAACAAUCUAUUCUCUAAAGCAGGUUUUAUUAAAUGAGUUCAAACCAUUCUAACUCUUUGUCACAGAUGGUCUCUAGGAAUGUUUUUUUAAAAAACAGUGAUGCUUUUUAAUCAUUACACUAUUGGAGGUGUCAGCCCACCUUUUAAAGGCUACAACUGCUGGGCAAGUUCCUAGAGUUCUUGAAACUGUUGUUACAGGAACUUUUUAAGGAAUUUCUCAGGCAUGUUGGGAAAUGUGCCAGGUGUAUAUGUGUUCAUAUAUCUUACUUUUCUUUUUAAAGUAUGCAUAAUGAAACAUUUCUCUAAUACACGAUGCUCAGCUUUUCCAAACUACAUUGUUCUGUGUUUGUACAGGUAUUUCACCCUUUGUUCAAAACUGCAGCCACUGAAACUUAAGUCAUUGCACUUUUAAACAACUUGGCAAUAUCAUGAGUAAUUUGUUAAAGGUUUAGUAUAUUUCAUAACUCUUGAGCACUUAAGUAAUUGAGAUGAGAAAAUAAGCCUUCAGGAGUAGGGAUGUAGCUCAGUAGUUUGACUGUUUUGCCCAACGUGCAUAUGAAGCCUGGGUUCCAUGCCCAGUACCACAUAAACUGGGUGUGGUGGCACAUGCCUGUCAUCCUAAGCACUUGGGAGGUGGAGGCAGGAGGAUCAGAAGUUCAAGGCCGUCCUCACCUACAUAGUGAGUUGGAGGCAAGCCUGAGAUACCUGAGAUGCUGCCUCAAACAGAAAUGUCUCUGUUGGUAGUUAGCAUUGUCAUUUUCCUUUGAAACACAAUGUUUAUGAUGUAUUCUCAGUAAGGUUCAGAAUCUGUAACUCAGCUCAACGCGGAUCUGUUGAGCUUUAAAAUGUAUUUGAAGUAAUUUAAGUAGGCAUUCAAAAUUAUAAAUUAGAUGUUUUUAAAUUUCUGCAUAAUAAUUUGCACUGUAAAAUAUGUCCUUCCUCCCAUUUCCUUCUGCCAUUCUGAUAUGCUCAUUAAAAUAUUUUUGUAAACAUA